Molecule: ribosomal RNA, 299 nt
Filed under: uncultured bacterium
Lineage: Bacteria
Description: partial 16S ribosomal RNA
Rfam family: Bacterial small subunit ribosomal RNA
Source: RNAcentral
CGCCUACGGGACGCAGCAGUGGGGAAUAUUGCACAAUGGGGGGAACCCUGAUGCAGCGACGCCGCGUGGGCGAGGAAGUAUUUCGGUAUGUAAAGCCCUAUCGGCAGGGAAGAAGAAAUGACGGUACCUGAAUAAGAAGCACCGGCUAAAUACGUGCCAGCAGCCGCGGUAAUACGUAUGGUGCAAGCGUUAUCCGGAUUUACUGGGCGUAAAGGGAGCGCAGGCGGGGGGCCAAGGCUGAUGUGAAACCCCGGGGCUCAACCCCGGGCAUGCCUUUGGAACUGGCGGGCUGGGGGGCC